RNAcentral lists this transfer RNA (75 nucleotides) under Cordylochernes scorpioides. RNAcentral's name for it is "tRNA-Thr". It matches the Rfam family "tRNA". Rfam says of the family: Transfer RNA (tRNA) molecules are approximately 80 nucleotides in length. Their secondary structure includes four short double-helical elements and three loops (D, anti-codon, and T loops). Lineage: Eukaryota; Metazoa; Arthropoda; Arachnida; Pseudoscorpiones; Chernetidae. The record is from RNAcentral.
GUCCAGGGUAGCCUAGUGGUCAUGGCAUCUGCCCAGUAAGCGGAAGGUCGUGGGUUAGAUUCCCAUCCCUUGACA